RNAcentral lists this ribosomal RNA (293 nucleotides) under Clostridioides difficile. RNAcentral's name for it is "partial 16S ribosomal RNA". It matches the Rfam family "Bacterial small subunit ribosomal RNA", at positions 385 to 696 of the family's 1533-position model. Lineage: Bacteria; Bacillati; Bacillota; Clostridia; Peptostreptococcales; Peptostreptococcaceae. The record is from RNAcentral.
GAUGCAGCAACGCCGCGUGAGGGAUGAAGGCCUUCGGGUCGUAAAACUCUGUCCUCAAGGAAGAUAAUGACGGUACUUGAGGAGGAAGCCCCGGCUAACUACGUGCCAGCAGCCGCGGUAAUACGUAGGGGGCUAGCGUUAUCCGGAGUUACUGGGCGUAAAGGGUGCGUAGGCGGUCUUUCAAGUCAGGAGUGAAAGGCUACGGCUCAACCGUAGUAAGCUCUUGAAACUGGGAGACUUGAGUGCAGGAGAGGAGAGUGGAAUUCCUAGUGUAGCGGUGAAAUGCGUAGAUA